This 74-nucleotide transfer RNA is filed under the name Lacrimispora defluvii. Its description in RNAcentral is "tRNA-Arg". It matches the Rfam family "tRNA". Rfam says of the family: Transfer RNA (tRNA) molecules are approximately 80 nucleotides in length. Their secondary structure includes four short double-helical elements and three loops (D, anti-codon, and T loops). Lineage: Bacteria; Bacillati; Bacillota; Clostridia; Lachnospirales; Lachnospiraceae. The record is from RNAcentral.
AGCGGAGUAGAGCAGUCUGGUAGCUCGCCAGCCUCCUUAGCUGGAAGUCAGAGGUUCAAAUCCUCUCUCCGCAA